Molecule: long non-coding RNA, 401 nt
Organism: Oncorhynchus masou masou (cherry salmon)
Lineage: Eukaryota; Metazoa; Chordata; Actinopteri; Salmoniformes; Salmonidae
Exons: 3
Source: RefSeq, a predicted model, not a curated record
CAGAAAGUAGUUGGUUGUUGUUAGCUAGCAACUGUUGACAAUCCCAAAUGAGGCUGCUAAAGGGAGAAUGGCUCAUAAUAAUGGCUGGAACAGAGCUAAUGGAAAGGCAUCAAACCCUUGGAAAUCAUGUGUUUGAUGUAUUUGGUACCAUUCCACCUAUUCCGCUCCAGUCAUUACCACAAGCCCAUCCUCCCCAAGUAAGGCGCCACCAAACUCCUGUGUGUUUUAACCUUUUGACAAGGAGGUCCUCGACAUAAGACUGGAAGCCAUUGUUGUUAUGUGGUGGAGAUAUGAGGCUGCAACUAAGAAGAGGAUCUGAAGAUAGUUAAGUCAAAGCUGAAUGAAGGCAUGGCCUCAAAGGGAUUAACAAAAAAAAGUGUAAAUAUGUAAUUUAAUAUGUG